UACGUAGGGUGCGAGCGUUAAUCGGAAUUACUGGGCGUAAAGCGUGCGCAGGCGGUUUUGUAAGCCAGAUGUGAAAUCCCCGGGCUUAACCUGGGAAUGGCAUUUGGGACUGCAAGGCUGGAGUACGGCAGAGGAGACUGGAAUUCCUGGUGUAGCAGUGAAAUGCGUAGAUAUCAGGAGGAAUACCGAUGGCGAAGGCAGGUCUCUGGGCUGACACUGACGCUCAUGCACGAAAGCGUGGGGACAAACAGG
Molecule: ribosomal RNA, 252 nt
Filed under: uncultured bacterium
Lineage: Bacteria
Description: partial 16S ribosomal RNA
Rfam family: Bacterial small subunit ribosomal RNA
Source: RNAcentral